Mycena latifolia is the source of this 96-nucleotide non-coding RNA. The record is from the annotation of a GenBank genome assembly. NCBI's taxonomy places the organism in Eukaryota, Fungi, Basidiomycota, Agaricomycetes, Agaricales, Mycenaceae.
GCCGUCGUCGACCAGUGGCAGGUCACCUCCAACAGUUGAUCACUUUGCGUCGAUAUAAAACUGGAGGAACCGGGGGUUCGAUUCCUCCCGACGGCA